Molecule: non-coding RNA, 23 nt
Filed under: Cricetulus griseus (Chinese hamster)
Lineage: Eukaryota; Metazoa; Chordata; Mammalia; Rodentia; Cricetidae
Source: RNAcentral
CCAACUUUGUUAAACCUACCAAC